UUUCUUUCUUUUCUCUCUUUCUUUUCUCUCUUUCGUUUCUCUCUUUCUUUCUUUCUUUUCUCUCUUUCUUUUUCUCUCUGCCAGUUUCCGACCAAAUAGAGUUUUCACCCAAUAAAUGGCGCGCAAAAUUCUAACUUUCCCAGCUUCUCCGUUUGAUUGUUCUGGUUUCUCCGAACCGCACUUUUGUUGAUACAAACUUACUUAAAUUAUUUUGAAAUUAACAAUAAGAGAAGAUGAAGCAUUGAUCUUGAUAUCAAUUCUUAAAGUGUUAAGCUCUGUAAAGUUAAUUUGAUGUAUUUUGUCUUCCACAAAUCGAAUACUGCGUAACAAAGCAGAUCAGUGAACGGCUAAACCGCCCCUGAUAACAUGUUUUUUUUUAAGUUCACGGCCAAUGUAAACAUUUAGAAAUUAAAAUAUUUGAAUUCUGUGUCUAUAUGCUUGAUCCGUUAUACUAAACAUCUGUUUCUUAAGAAAUAUUAAAGAGGUUAGAAAAAACAUGUUUAAAAUCUGAAUUAAAGGGACUUCCCUUAAAGUGUACUUAUGUGAUAAUUUUGUAUAUUUGCCGAUAAUUUCUUUAUCCUCGACGAAUAAUGAUUUGGGAGAAAAUCUAGUUUUUCGUGAACACUUCCUUUAAUAUGCUCUGAGAUGAAACACUUGCCUGUAAUUUAUAAAGAUAUUGAUAUGUGCCUUUACAAUAUACAGUAUUAAUAAUUGUUUUUUAUGUAAUGAGAUAUUAGAAUUUGAUCUUGAAUUGAAAUACAUGUUUUUAAUGCAAA
Eurytemora carolleeae is the source of this 776-nucleotide long non-coding RNA. RefSeq lists it as uncharacterized. NCBI's taxonomy places the organism in Eukaryota, Metazoa, Arthropoda, Copepoda, Calanoida, Temoridae. The transcript is spliced from 2 exons. The record is from RefSeq and is a predicted model, not a curated record.